This 409-nucleotide transfer-messenger RNA is filed under the name Candidatus Gastranaerophilaceae. RNAcentral's name for it is "Stercorousia sp902795965 Standard tmRNA". It matches the Rfam family "transfer-messenger RNA". Rfam says of the family: Bacterial tmRNA, also known as 10Sa RNA or SsrA, is named for its dual tRNA and mRNA-like properties. Its role is to liberate the mRNA from a stalled ribosome. The record is from RNAcentral. RNAcentral also lists the same sequence under 1 other name. Lineage: Bacteria; Bacillati; Candidatus Melainabacteria; Candidatus Gastranaerophilales.
GGGGACGUUUUGGAUUUGACAGGACGUUCGGUGGAUACAGAUUGCGAGUCGGAGAGCUGUUCUCCGUUAUCAACGGGCAAACCAAAUUAAAUGCUAACAACAAUAAUGUAGUUAAAGGUGUAUUUGGUGCAGACAGAGCAUACGCUCUUGCAGCCUAAGCCUUUGAUGGUAUAGCUACUCAUAAAGCCCAGCUUGCCGGUUUUAUGGGUCCAUUAUGCAAGCGGCAGUGAACAAAUGACGAUAUGUUCAUCAAGAUUAAUCGUCAAAAGUUAGUGUUUCUUAAAAAAACACUUUGGGUUCGUAAAGGGUUUUGAUAUUUCCCGAGGACUUGAGCGAAUUAAUAUCUACACUCGUAGACGUUUGUUGAAAUCCGUUUUGGACAGGGGUUCGACUCCCCUCGUCUCCACCA